CACAGGGAUAGGGAGAAGGUGAUCCACAUUGCAGGGGCCUAAUUACAGGGGGCCCUGAAUGCCAAGCCAAGACUUGGAAAAUUAGAAGGUCUACAAGGACUCCAGAACUCUCCAGGAGUGAUGAAAGAUGGUGUCUUAGCCUGGGUUUCUGCAACAAGCAGAGCCUAGCACAACAUGGUGGUUUACUUUGAAAAGUGAUCCCAAGAAACAGGAGUGAGAGGCUCGGAAGAGUCAAACGGAAAGAGGACAAGCCAACCAAGGCUGUGCCUGGGUGCAUCACGAUUCACCUAAAAAUCACCACUGAAAUCCGCAGCAGGCAAUUGUGCCAGACAACAGGUGAUGACGGGGGCAAACACGACUCAGCUUCUGCCUGCAGCAUCUACAGUCAUGGAAGGAGACCUCCGUGAAAGUGUGGUGUUUGCUGUGAGAGGGAGCAGACGCUCACUGCCAUAGAUCUCAGAGACCACCAAGGCUGAAUAAGCUGAACAACGCAUGCGGAAAGUCCACAGGCCUGCACACCAAUGGCCACAGCCUGUUCUCUCCCUGCAGGUAGGACACUCAUGCGGUACCACCCUUCCUGAGGACACCUUCCUUCCAUUGCCUGGACAGCAGCAUCCUGCCCUGGGCCACCCUCCAUGUGGAUGCCCUUCCCACUUCCCCAGGGCACUGACUCCAAGCGCAAGGUGCCCUUGCAAUAGACACUCUCCUCACCCCUCUAGUUCUGCCAUCCUGCCCUGGGCCACCUUCUGUGUAGACCCCUCCUCACCCCACUGAGGGUCUGAGUCUCCGUGCCAGGACAUCCUCCCUGGACAGGACCCCCUUCGGACCCUGCUUUGGUCUCCGACACAUGCUGGGCUGCCCCCUCCUAUGUUGGCACCCUCCUCGCUCCACAUGGGCAACCUCACACUGGACCACCGCCCUUGUGUGAGCCUCUAUCUCACCCCGGUGGACUCCACCCUCCUGCUCUGGGCACGCUACUUCCUCCCCACUCAGCUACAGAGGCCUGCCUUGCUCUACCUUACCUAAUGGCUUCUGAACAGAAUUUUCUAGAAGGGAGAGGAAGAAGCAUCGAGCUGGUUCUCUUGGCCUGUUCCUGGAUCCCAUCCUUCUCCUUUGUUCCCGGCUCCUCCAUUCUCUAGGAAUCUCAAUCUCUUCCGGCAUUGCUGAGUUCUCAAGCUCUCUACUUUCCACUGAGCCUGUGAGUCCAGCAGGGACUGGGGUUGGGAUGCAGUUUUCAGAGACCUGUGACUACACCUUUGUUACUGGAUAGACUCCUCAGCCCUGGAUCAGCCACAGCCCUCUCCCAGGAAGCCCCUCAACUCUCUGCUAUUACCCUUCUCCAAGGCCUGAAAACAGGACUCUCUCUUCGAGAAGAUCACAGACCCUUGAGAAGAUACAGAAAUUCUCUGCUCGGCCCAAGUCAAAAUAAAAUGACUGAAUAGGCCAGGGCAGCACAGACGAGAGAGGAGUUUUCUCUGGGGCAGUGGUUCUCCAAGUGUAGUCACUGAGCAAGCAGCAGCAGAGUCAGCUGGGAACUUGUGGGACAUACAGAUCCUGGAGCCCCACCCAGACUACUGAAGCAGAACCUCCUGGGGUGGCGCUGGCAAUCUGUGUUUUAAUAAGCCCUCCUCAUUCUGAUGUCCUCUAAAGUGUGAGAACCACAGCUCCAGAAUACUGCAGGGCAGUGACGGGUGGAGGAGAAGGAGUAGGGCUGACUUCUCAGAAGAGUCCCGAAGACCUUGUCCUUGAGUCUGCAGAGAAGUUCACCAGGCAGACAAAGAAAGAAAGAGCAAGCCCAGGCAUACCCACAAGUACCAUCUGAGCUCUGCAUACCUUCUGAUAUAUGUUUAAUAAUCUUGGAAUAACAAUUGUAUUGAUAUUAUGUUGUUUAGAGUAAGUGGCAAUGUAUUCUUUGAAGAGUUAAAACUGUUUUCUGUGUUUAGAAAAGUUCUCACUUGAACUUAAUUUUGUGUUCUAAAUUUAACUAAGGAUUAUUUUUAUACAAACUUUUGAAAGCUUACUAAAUUUAUCUGAUUAACUUGUUAACAGUAGGUAGUUAGGCAGACAUAAGCAGGGCAGACCCCCACCCCCACCCCAGGAACGUCAGACAACCAUCAGGUGAUGGUCAGGAAGUUGUUCCACUGCUCCCUAAAAUAAUAACUGAUCGCACCCAGCACCAGGGAAAGGCAGUCUCCCAAUAGAUAGAAAACA
RNAcentral lists this long non-coding RNA (2211 nucleotides) under Homo sapiens (human). RNAcentral describes it as "HSALNT0317190". Lineage: Eukaryota; Metazoa; Chordata; Mammalia; Primates; Hominidae. The record is from RNAcentral.